CAAAGGAGAGAAGAAGCGAGGUGAAGGUUGAGGAAGGAACCCAAAUCCGACCAAGUUCUUCUCCGGCGUAAAGUCCGGUCACCGAUCGAUCUCCGUCGCCGGCCGGUCAUCGUGCUCAUUGCAGCACCUGCGGAGUAGGAUGAAGAGGAAGUUGACUGGUCAACCAUGGUCAACUUUGAUUGACAGCGGGCAAUUUUGUUUUAUUUGGCAAAUUUUGGAUUUUUUUUUCUAAGGAAGUCGUGAUGGUGUUAUUAAACCCUCCUACGGUUUAUUUUUUAUUUUUCUUUUUCUUUUUCUUGUGGACAUAACAACGACGUUUAUGUUAUAAUCUGAGCUAUGUUAAAUUGCUUAUUUU
Molecule: long non-coding RNA, 355 nt
Filed under: Musa acuminata (dwarf banana)
Lineage: Eukaryota; Viridiplantae; Streptophyta; Magnoliopsida; Zingiberales; Musaceae
Description: long non-coding RNA (MACU_LNC010672)
Source: RNAcentral